ACUAAGCGUACACGGUGGAUGCCCUGGCAGUCAGAGGCGAUGAAGGACGUGCUAAUCUGCGAUAAGCGUCGGUAAGGUGAUAUGAACCGUUAUAACCGGCGAUUUCCGAAUGGGGAAACCCAGUGUGAUUCGUCACACUAUCAUUAACUGAAUCCAUAGGUUAAUGAGGCGAACCGGGGGAACUGAAACAUCUAAGUACCCCGAGGAAAAGAAAUCAACCGAGAUUCCCCCAGUAGCGGCGAGCGAACGGGGAGCAGCCCAGAGCCUGAAUCAGUGUGUGUGUUAGUGGAAGCGUCUGGAAAGGCGCGCGAUACAGGGUGACAGCCCCGUACACAAAAAUGCACAUACUGUGAGCUCGAUGAGUAGGGCGGGACACGUGGUAUCCUGUCUGAAUAUGGGGGGACCAUCCUCCAAGGCUAAAUACUCCUGACUGACCGAUAGUGAACCAGUACCGUGAGGGAAAGGCGAAAAGAACCCCGGCGAGGGGAGUGAAAAAGAACCUGAAACCGUGUACGUACAAGCAGUGGGAGCACGCUUAGGCGUGUGACUGCGUACCUUUUGUAUAAUGGGUCAGCGACUUAUAUUCUGUAGCAAGGUUAACCGAAUAGGGGAGCCGAAGGGAAACCGAGUCUUAACUGGGCGUUAAGUUGCAGGGUAUAGACCCGAAACCCGGUGAUCUAGCCAUGGGCAGGUUGAAGGUUGGGUAACACUAACUGGAGGACCGAACCGACUAAUGUUGAAAAAUUAGCGGAUGACUUGUGGCUGGGGGUGAAAGGCCAAUCAAACCGGGAGAUAGCUGGUUCUCCCCGAAAGCUAUUUAGGUAGCGCCUCGUGAAUUCAUCUCCGGGGGUAGAGCACUGUUUCGGCAAGGGGGUCAUCCCGACUUACCAACCCGAUGCAAACUGCGAAUACCGGAGAAUGUUAUCACGGGAGACACACGGCGGGUGCUAACGUCCGUCGUGAAGAGGGAAACAACCCAGACCGCCAGCUAAGGUCCCAAAGUCAUGGUUAAGUGGGAAACGAUGUGGGAAGGCCCAGACAGCCAGGAUGUUGGCUUAGAAGCAGCCAUCAUUUAAAGAAAGCGUAAUAGCUCACUGGUCGAGUCGGCCUGCGCGGAAGAUGUAACGGGGCUAAACCAUGCACCGAAGCUGCGGCAGCGACACUAUGUGUUGUUGGGUAGGGGAGCGUUCUGUAAGCCUGUGAAGGUGUACUGUGAGGUAUGCUGGAGGUAUCAGAAGUGCGAAUGCUGACAUAAGUAACGAUAAAGCGGGUGAAAAGCCCGCUCGCCGGAAGACCAAGGGUUCCUGUCCAACGUUAAUCGGGGCAGGGUGAGUCGACCCCUAAGGCGAGGCCGAAAGGCGUAGUCGAUGGGAAACAGGUUAAUAUUCCUGUACUUGGUGUUACUGCGAAGGGGGGACGGAGAAGGCUAUGUUGGCCGGGCGACGGUUGUCCCGGUUUAAGCGUGUAGGCUGGUUUUCCAGGCAAAUCCGGAAAACUAAGGCUGAGGCGUGAUGACGAGGCACUACGGUGCUGAAGCAACAAAUGCCCUGCUUCCAGGAAAAGCCUCUAAGCAUCAGGUAACAUCAAAUCGUACCCCAAACCGACACAGGUGGUCAGGUAGAGAAUACCAAGGCGCUUGAGAGAACUCGGGUGAAGGAACUAGGCAAAAUGGUGCCGUAACUUCGGGAGAAGGCACGCUGAUAUGUAGGUGAAGUCCCUCGCGGAUGGAGCUGAAAUCAGUCGAAGAUACCAGCUGGCUGCAACUGUUUAUUAAAAACACAGCACUGUGCAAACACGAAAGUGGACGUAUACGGUGUGACGCCUGCCCGGUGCCGGAAGGUUAAUUGAUGGGGUCAGCGCAAGCGAAGCUCUUGAUCGAAGCCCCGGUAAACGGCGGCCGUAACUAUAACGGUCCUAAGGUAGCGAAAUUCCUUGUCGGGUAAGUUCCGACCUGCACGAAUGGCGUAAUGAUGGCCAGGCUGUCUCCACCCGAGACUCAGUGAAAUUGAACUCGCUGUGAAGAUGCAGUGUACCCGCGGCAAGACGGAAAGACCCCGUGAACCUUUACUAUAGCUUGACACUGAACAUUGAGCCUUGAUGUGUAGGAUAGGUGGGAGGCUUUGAAGUGUGGACGCCAGUCUGCAUGGAGCCGACCUUGAAAUACCACCCUUUAAUGUUUGAUGUUCUAACGUUGACCCGUAAUCCGGGUUGCGGACAGUGUCUGGUGGGUAGUUUGACUGGGGCGGUCUCCUCCUAAAGAGUAACGGAGGAGCACGAAGGUUGGCUAAUCCUGGUCGGACAUCAGGAGGUUAGUGCAAUGGCAUAAGCCAGCUUGACUGCGAGCGUGACGGCGCGAGCAGGUGCGAAAGCAGGUCAUAGUGAUCCGGUGGUUCUGAAUGGAAGGGCCAUCGCUCAACGGAUAAAAGGUACUCCGGGGAUAACAGGCUGAUACCGCCCAAGAGUUCAUAUCGACGGCGGUGUUUGGCACCUCGAUGUCGGCUCAUCACAUCCUGGGGCUGAAGUAGGUCCCAAGGGUAUGGCUGUUCGCCAUUUAAAGUGGUACGCGAGCUGGGUUUAGAACGUCGUGAGACAGUUCGGUCCCUAUCUGCCGUGGGCGCUGGAGAACUGAGGGGGGCUGCUCCUAGUACGAGAGGACCGGAGUGGACGCAUCACUGGUGUUCGGGUUGUCAUGCCAAUGGCACUGCCCGGUAGCUAAAUGCGGAAGAGAUAAGUGCUGAAAGCAUCUAAGCACGAAACUUGCCCCGAGAUGAGUUCUCCCUGACUCCUUGAGAGUCCUGAAGGAACGUUGAAGACGACGACGUUGAUAGGCCGGGUGUGUAAGCGCAGCGAUGCGUUGAGCUAACCGGUACUAAUGAACCGUGAGGCUUAACC
This 2892-nucleotide ribosomal RNA is filed under the name Escherichia coli. RNAcentral describes it as "bacterial LSU rRNA". It matches the Rfam family "Bacterial large subunit ribosomal RNA". Lineage: Bacteria; Pseudomonadati; Pseudomonadota; Gammaproteobacteria; Enterobacterales; Enterobacteriaceae. The record is from RNAcentral.